GGAGAGGUGGCGGAGUGGCCGAACGCAGCUGCCUGCUAAGCAGUUGGCCGGGUAACUGGCCCUCGGGUUCAAAUCCCGACCUCUCCG
Molecule: transfer RNA, 87 nt
Filed under: Candidatus Omnitrophota bacterium
Lineage: Bacteria; Pseudomonadati; Candidatus Omnitrophota
Description: tRNA-Ser
Rfam family: tRNA
About the family: Transfer RNA (tRNA) molecules are approximately 80 nucleotides in length.
Source: RNAcentral